RNAcentral lists this unclassified non-coding RNA (23 nucleotides) under Dictyostelium discoideum. The record is from RNAcentral. Lineage: Eukaryota; Evosea; Eumycetozoa; Dictyosteliales; Dictyosteliaceae.
CUGUAGGCACCUGCACCUGAUUC